GCCAUCUGUGCGAAGGCCAUCUAUCAGGGCACCAAGGCCAUCUGUACCAAGGCCAUCUGUCAGGGUACCAAGACCAUCUGUCAGGGUACCAAGGCCAUCUGCCAGGGCACCAAGGCCAUCUGUCAGGCUACUAAGGACUUCUGUCAGUGCACCAAGGACAUCUGUCAGUGCACCAAGGACAUCUGUCAGGGUACUAAGGCCAUCUACGCUCAUUGGCUACAGCCUCUCAUGUCUACACCAAUGCUGACAUACGGGAGGCGCCAGAAAAGAAACUGAGGAAGCUGACCUGUUCUACUCUCUCCCAUGACAACACAUACCUGAGGUCUCUUCCUCAAACCAGCUACUACCUGAUCUUGGGCCUUCAGAACCAGUUGUCUCGGCAUGGUUGUCUGAAGACCAUCCAGGACCAUGAGGACUUCUGUUUCACGGUUAACCACCACAACCACAACCGUGGUCCAGUCCAGCUGCAGAGAACACUACAGGAGAUCAGGAAGAGGAUGAUUGGCAGCCGCUCCACAUCUGAUGUGAUGUCAGCGGGAUGGGGUUGGAGCCAGCAGGAGAUGUUAGUACAGCCCCCUAGAAUUCACGUCACCACCGCGGAGAGAAGACACCUGGACCGGAUUGUCCCUUCAGAGACAGGGAAAAGGCUUAUGCCGGGAGAGAGACUUCCAGAAAGAGGGACUGGCGAGAGACUUCCAGAAAGAGGGCCUGGGGAGAGACUUCCAGAAAGAGGGCCAGGGGAGAGACUUCCAGAAAGAGGGCCAGGGGAGAGACUUCCAGAAAGAGGGGCUGGGGAGAGACUUCCAAAAAAAGGGACUGGCGAGAGACUUCCAGAAAGAGGGUCUGGGGAGAGGCUUCCAGAAAGAGGGUCUGGGGAGAGACUUCCAGAAAGAGGGGCUGCGGAGAACUCUGCAGCCUUCCUCCUCUCACAGCAGCAGGAACAGGACUAUACUGAGCAAAUGUUUCCCAAGGUGAAGGUUCCCAAGUUUGCAACCCUUCAGCCUAGUUUUCUGAAGAACUUGAAGACGGUGAUGCCAACUUUGGGAGUUGAGGAGAUACCCGAGAAGAGUAAGAGAGCAGAGAUGACUGUGAGGAUGCUGAGACACAUGCACAGCCUGUCCCUUACCAACAUGGCUGUCUCUCAGAGAAUGCUACUGGACAGAGACAGACACUCACUGUGCUGCUGCUGGGAACAGAAGAGGAGUUUCCAAGAUCUGACGCAGUAUGUAUUUCCGAGUGUUCACUCUAACGAAGAGAAGAAGAGGUGUGCUGGGAACCUUCCUCCUCUCCUUCCUCUCCCUCCUCCUCCUCUGUCCUACCAGGAAUGGGAUAGGAUCAACCCAGAGGAUUCAGAGGUCCCUAGCCUGGGCCUGGAAGGGCUUGGGCUGAGGACCACACCCUCUGCUGGAAACACAGAAAUAUGUAGCAAGACUCCUGAGCCUUUAUCCAUAGAGGAUGUGUGUCAACGCAACCCUUCAGUGGUGAUAGGUUGUGGAUAUAAGCUUUGGAGGAAUUAUGACGAGGAGACAGCCUAUUGGGUAUCUUCUUUUGACGUGAAGGCCACUAGGCUACAACAAUCACCAAUCACCAAUCACCAAUAACAUGAAUAAGAUAAAAGGAUUAUGAGAUGAUGUAUUAUUUUGAGACCAGUUCACUUUGAGACCAGUUCACUUUGAGACCGUUCACUGAGAGACCCGUUCACUGAGAAACCAGUUCACUGAGAGACCAGUUCACUUUGAGACCAGUUCACUGAGAGACCCGUUCACUGAGAGACCAGUUCACUUUGAGACCAGUUCACUGAGAGACCAGUUCACUUUGAGACCAGUUCACUUUGAGACCAGUUCACUUUGAGACCAGUUCAGUUUGAGACCAGUUCAGUUUGAGACCAGUUCACUGAGAGACCAGUUCACUGAGAGACCAGUUCACUUAGAGACCAGUUCACUGAGAGACCAGUUCACCGAGAGACCAGUUCACCGAGAGACCAAUUCACUGAGAGACCAGUUCACUUAGAGACCAGUUCACUUUGAGACCAGUUCACUUAGAGACCAGUUCACUUUGAGUGUGAACAGAGUAUAGCCUACUAAUCUGGAUUCCUAUUUUGUUUCUCUUUGACUAUAACAACAACAACAACAAAACGAUAUAGUUGUUUUUACAAAUAAAAUGUACUAUUAGCAGUAUGUAUUUUACUUAUAGAAUGUAUCAUCAACAAUAUGAGUAAAGAACUAAAGGCAAAUAAUGAAUAGAAAAGCAAUUCUUUAGCUACCAAUUAUUUUUAAGAGAAAUUUAACCAAUGUGUAUUUAGAAUGACACUUUCUACUCACUUGAUUGAUUCUGAUUGUGAAUGAUUUAACCUAAUAAAAAAACUUGCUAAAA
Molecule: long non-coding RNA, 2373 nt
Filed under: Salmo salar (Atlantic salmon)
Lineage: Eukaryota; Metazoa; Chordata; Actinopteri; Salmoniformes; Salmonidae
Description: lncRNA (ENSSSAG00000054275.2)
Source: RNAcentral